GCGGGUAUGGCGGAAUUGGCAGACGCGCCGGAUUUAGGAUCCGGUUCCUUGUGAGUGCAGGUUCAAGUCCUGUUACCCGUACCA
Molecule: transfer RNA, 84 nt
Filed under: Clostridia bacterium
Lineage: Bacteria; Bacillati; Bacillota; Clostridia
Description: tRNA-Leu
Rfam family: tRNA
About the family: Transfer RNA (tRNA) molecules are approximately 80 nucleotides in length. Their secondary structure includes four short double-helical elements and three loops (D, anti-codon, and T loops). Further hydrogen bonds mediate the characteristic L-shaped molecular structure. tRNAs have two regions of fundamental functional importance: the anti-codon, which is responsible for specific mRNA codon recognition, and the 3' end, to which the tRNAs corresponding amino acid is attached (by aminoacyl-tRNA synthetases). tRNAs cope with the degeneracy of the genetic code in two manners: having more than one tRNA (with a specific anti-codon) for a particular amino acid; and 'wobble' base-pairing, i.e. permitting non-standard base-pairing at the 3rd anti-codon position.
Source: RNAcentral